GGGAGGGAGUGACAAUAAAUAACAAUACGGGGUUCUUUCGGAUCUCGUAAUUGGAAUGAGUACAAUUUAAAUCUCUUAACGAGGAACAAUUGGAGGGCAAGUCUGGUGCCAGCAGCCGCGGUAACUCCAGCUCCAAUAGCGUAUAUUAAAGUUGUUGCAGUUAAAAAGCUCGUAGUUGAAUUUCGGGGUUGGUAGGCUGGUCAUGCCACCGGUAUGUACUGGUCUUUCUGAUUCCUCCUUCCUGAUGAACUGUAAUGCCAUUAAUUUGGUGUUGCAGGGAAUCUGGACUGUUACUUUGAAAAAAUUAGAGUGUUUAAAGCAGGCAAGCGCUUGAAUACAUUAGCAUGGAAUAAUGAAAUAGGACGUUUGAUCUUAUUUUGUUGGUUUCUAAGAUUGACGUAAUGAUUAAUAGGGAUAGUUGGG
This 423-nucleotide ribosomal RNA is filed under the name uncultured Glomeraceae. Its description in RNAcentral is "SSU rRNA". It matches the Rfam family "Eukaryotic small subunit ribosomal RNA", at positions 459 to 886 of the family's 1831-position model. Lineage: Eukaryota; Fungi; Glomeromycota; Glomeromycetes; Glomerales; Glomeraceae. The record is from RNAcentral.